AUACUUUCCAGACAGUCCUUGUAUGUAUGUAUGUAUGUAUGUAUAUGUGUGUGUGUGUGUGUUUAUAUAUUUAUAUAUAUAUAUAUAUAUACAUACAUACAUACAUACAAGGACUGUCCAGAAAGUAU
RNAcentral lists this microRNA precursor (128 nucleotides) under Pelobates cultripes (western spadefoot toad). The record is from RNAcentral. Lineage: Eukaryota; Metazoa; Chordata; Amphibia; Anura; Pelobatidae.